UUAAGGAAUUGACGGGACCCGCACAAGCAGCGGAGCGUGUGGUUUAAUUCGUUGCUACACGAAGAACCUUACCUGGGUUUGACAUAUAGGUUGUAGGGAACUGAAAAGGGACCGACCUUCGGGGAGCCUAUACAGGUGUUGCAUGGCUGUCGUCAGCUCGUGUCGUGAGAUGUUCGGUUAAGUCCGCUAACGAGCGCAACCCUCGUCGUAUGUUAUAUGUGUCAUACGAGACUGCCGGUAAAAGCCGGAGGAAGGUGAGGAUGAUGUCAAGUCAGCAUGACCUUUAUAUCCAGGGCUACACACACGCUACAAUGGUCUGUACAAUGGGUAGCCAAGCCGCGAGGCGGAGCCAAUCCUGAAAGCAGGCCUCAGUUCAGAUUGCAGUCUGCAACUCGACUGCAUGAAGCCGGAGUUGCUAGUAACCGCAGGUCAGCAAUACUGCGGUGAAUACGUUCCCGGGUCUU
RNAcentral lists this ribosomal RNA (464 nucleotides) under uncultured Anaerolineaceae bacterium. RNAcentral describes it as "bacterial SSU rRNA". It matches the Rfam family "Bacterial small subunit ribosomal RNA", at positions 904 to 1382 of the family's 1533-position model. The record is from RNAcentral. Lineage: Bacteria; Bacillati; Chloroflexota; Anaerolineae; Anaerolineales; Anaerolineaceae.